Molecule: long non-coding RNA, 445 nt
Filed under: Homo sapiens (human)
Lineage: Eukaryota; Metazoa; Chordata; Mammalia; Primates; Hominidae
Description: non-protein coding lnc-TMEM121-2:23
Source: RNAcentral
AGGAAGUCCUGUGCGAGGCAGCCAACGGCCACGCUGCUCGUAUCCGACGGGGAAUUCUCACAGGAGACGAGGGGGAAAAGGGUUGGGGCGGAUGCACUCCUGAGGAGACAGUGACCAGGGUGCCACGGCCCCAGAGAUCGAAGUACCAGUAGCACAGCGUGUCUCUCGCACAGUAAUACACGGCCGUGUCCUCAGAUCUCAGGCUGCUCAGCUCCAUGUAGACUGUGCUCGUGGACGUGUCCCUGGUCAUGGUGACUCUGCCCUGGAACUUCUGUGCGUAGCUUGUGCUACCACCACUAGGGUUGAUUAUUCCCAUCCACUCAAGCCCUUGUCCAGGGGCCUGUCGCACCCAGUGCAUAUAGUAGCUGGUGAAGGUGUAUCCAGAUGCCUUGCAGGAAACCUUCACUGAGGCCCCAGGCUUCUUCACCUCAGCCCCAGACUGCAC